AUCCAGCUGACGAGUCCCAAAUAAGACGAGACACGCAUCCUGGAU
Schistosoma curassoni is the source of this 45-nucleotide non-coding RNA. The record is from Rfam. NCBI's taxonomy places the organism in Eukaryota, Metazoa, Platyhelminthes, Trematoda, Strigeidida, Schistosomatidae.